UAAUACGAAGGUUGCAAGCGUUGUUCGGAAUCACUGGGCUUAAAGCGUAUGUAGGCGGACCAGAAAGUAGUUUGUGAAAUCCCCCGGCUUAACCGGGGAAUUGCUUGCUAAACUACUGGUCUUGAGGCAAAUAGGGGUGCAUGGAACUCUUGGUGGAGCGGUGGAAUGCGUAGAUAUCAAGAGGAACGCCAGCGGCGAAAGCGGUGCACUGGAUUUGUCCUGACGCUCAGAUACGAAAGCGUGGGGAGCAAACGGG
This 256-nucleotide ribosomal RNA is filed under the name uncultured bacterium. RNAcentral's name for it is "partial 16S ribosomal RNA". It matches the Rfam family "Bacterial small subunit ribosomal RNA", at positions 521 to 776 of the family's 1533-position model. The record is from RNAcentral.